RNAcentral lists this ribosomal RNA (254 nucleotides) under uncultured bacterium. RNAcentral's name for it is "partial 16S ribosomal RNA". It matches the Rfam family "Bacterial small subunit ribosomal RNA", at positions 524 to 776 of the family's 1533-position model. The record is from RNAcentral.
UACGUAGGGGGCGAGCGUUGUCCGGAUUUAUUGGGCGUAAAGAGCUCGUAGGCGGCUUGGCAAGUCAGAUGUGAAAACUCUGGGCUUAACCCUGAGACGCCAUCUGAGACUGCUAUGGCUAGAGUCCGGUAGGGGACCACGGAAUUCCUGGUGUAGCGGUGAAAUGCGCAGAUAUCAGGAGGAACACCGGUGGCGAAGGCGGUGGUCCGGGCCGGCACUGACGCUGAGGAGCGAAAGCGUGGGGAGCAAACAGG